GCCGUUGGAGACCACAACGUUGAUAGGUGGGGUGUGUAAGCGUAGCGAUACGUUGAGCUAACCCAUACUAAUUACCCGUGAGGCUUAACCAU
RNAcentral lists this ribosomal RNA (92 nucleotides) under Aeromonas caviae. Its description in RNAcentral is "partial 23S ribosomal RNA". It matches the Rfam family "Bacterial large subunit ribosomal RNA", at positions 2834 to 2925 of the family's 2925-position model. The record is from RNAcentral. Lineage: Bacteria; Pseudomonadati; Pseudomonadota; Gammaproteobacteria; Aeromonadales; Aeromonadaceae. RNAcentral also lists the same sequence under 1 other name.